Molecule: long non-coding RNA, 383 nt
Organism: Poecilia latipinna (sailfin molly)
Lineage: Eukaryota; Metazoa; Chordata; Actinopteri; Cyprinodontiformes; Poeciliidae
Exons: 2
Source: RefSeq, a predicted model, not a curated record
CCGACCCGAUUGCAGCCGUUUCUCUGUGUGGUGAACCAGGCAGGAGAGAUCGCAGCCUGAAGGGGUCGUUUAAGGUCAGGGUUCGUUUAAGGUCAGGGUUAAUUUAAGGUCAGGGGUCAUUUUAAGGUCAGGGUUCGUUUAAGGUCAGGGUUCAUUUAAGGUGAGGGUUCAUUUAAGGUCAGGGUUCAUUUUAAGGUCAGGGGUCAAUUUAAGGUCAGGGUUCGUUUAAGGUCAGGGUUCAUUUAAGGUCAGGGUUCAUUUUAAGGUCAGGGUUCGUUUAGAGCUGUACAGGAAAUAUCAAAUAUGGCAUUAUGGAGAAGGUAGCUUCUAGCCAUUGGUAACCAUGGAGACAAUGCCGCACCCCCAUGUAGCCUAGCAUGUAU